CCACACUCAUUUUCUAUGUUCAGUGGACCGUGAAAAUGGGAUAAAAUCUCUAAUUUGGCAUUAAAAUUAGAAAGAUCAUAUUAUAGGGAAAUGUUUACUAAGUUUCAAGUUGAUGGGACUUCAACUUCAUCAAAAACUACCUCGACCAAAAACUUUAACCAAAACUUUAACCUGAAACGGGACAGACGGACAAACAGAUGAUCGCACAGACUAGAAACGUAAUGCCCAUAAAUGGGGCAUAAAAACAACUACCAAAGCAGACACAAGCGAAAUGUUCACUUGAUUCUAUCAUUGGUUAAACCAAAUCUAAUAAUUUGGUACAACAAAAAUCUCAACUCAUAAGAUAUUCUCCUCAACAUUUGCAAUGAUCAUAAUAAACAAUAAUGUGUCAAUAGUAAUCAGAUGCACCACUCACAUUUAUAAUUUCAGUGAACUGUGAGAUUAGGGUCAAAACUCUAACCUGGCAUUAAAAUUAGAAAGAUCAUAUUAUAGGGAACAUGUGUACUAAGUUUCAAGUUAAACUUCAUCAAAAACUUCCUAAAAUCUUUAAUGCCCGCGUCACACUGUCCCGAUUUUUAUAUACGAUGGACACUCGAAUGCGAAAAUUGUAAGUUCGUACGAAGUUGGUCCCGAUCUCGUUAAAUACCGAAAAGUGACCGAAGCAAGUACGAUGAAUAACAAAGUCUAUACGAUGGUGCCGAAAUUAUAUACGAUAGCAAAAGAUGGACAUACGAAGGUUAACCGAAGACGGGUAUUUAACCUUCAUAUCUCAGCCGAAGGCUACACGAUGGAUUACGAAGGCUACACGAUAGUUUAUGAUGGAUGGCGCGAUGGCAUGUACGAUGUCUAAAAGACGUCGUGUACAGCUUACGAUGCAUUUGUAUUAUGUUUAAUUCUUAUAAAACUUAGUUUAUUUAAGAAAUAAUUCAUGGAAGCCAUAGAUUUGUUGGAAAUUUACACAUGGCCUGGGCCGUGAUAUUCGAAUUUUUAUCCUGAGCGUUAGCGAGGGAUAAAAUUAAACGAAUAUCACGGCCCAGGCCAUGUGUAAAUUUCCAACAAAUCUAUGGCUUCCAUGAAUUAUUUCGAUUCUAAUAGGACAAAUACGAUCAUUAAAAAACUGAAGCGAUGAUGGGAAUACCGUGUGUGUGGCUGUUCUAUUUUUACCCACUGUUCGAUAAAAUGUAAAACAAAUCUAAUAAACCUGCAUGAAUGAUUUCCUAACUAACGGCUAGAAAAAAAAUGUGAUUACUUUUUUUACUUCUCAGUAAACCCAACAUUUGCAAUUUUUAAAUUUACAUUUUUUAUCGUAAGCUACCGUCAAAUUCACUGUUGACACGUUGUAACCAAGGAGCCGCCAUGUUGACUUGCUGAAAUCAGUAAAUGUGCGAAUAAUGCAAUAGAACAGAAAACAAGCAACACCUACCUCAAUACUUUAUUUUAAUGCAAUUGUAUCCGAGUUUACAAGGUAAACGCAAUAGAAAAACCUUCAGCUUUAACGUUUUCAUUCGUAUGACGUCAUGUUUUUGAAAUGACGUUAAUGCGCAAAAAUCAUUACUGGAAUUUCGCGGAAUUUUAAUUUAUUUUGUUUUUGUCCAUUUUUUUCGAUUCUCUAAUGUGUAAAUUUAUUUUGUUAAGCAUCAGAAUCAGAAUAAAUGUUCUGUAGGGUUUUAUUCAAUUGUAAUUGUUAACACAGCGAAAUCCACAACCGUUUACACAUAGGUUACGAUACAUGUGGAUUUACGUGGGAGGCAUAUUUAAACAGCCAUUUUUGUACAUCUUGGAGUCUGCGCUAAGUAUAGAUAUAUCGAGAAUUUUAUCACGGUGUUGUUUACAAAGCGAAAGAAGCACCUCAUAUUAGAAUAUCCCCUCGCCUACUGCAUGUAAGUUGCGUGUAGAUAAAAUUGUUAUGGACACUCAAGAACCAAAAUGCUCACAACUUGGUAUGGUGUUACUCGUUAAGAAUAUCUUAAGCGCUAUUGACUUUAAAGUUCAAAAGUCAAGGUCACAGUGGCAGUUGUAAUACAAGGUAAUAUCACCCUUGUGGACACUCUAAAACCAAUAUGCUUCAAAAGAUUUUAACCACAUUUGGUAUAUUGUUCCUCCUUGUAAUGAUCUGACAUUUUUUACGUUCAAGGCCAAAGGUCAAGGUCAUGCAGAUGGACCUGUUUUUUCUCCUUGAAAUAGCAUAAUACACAGGAAAUUGGUUGCUCAUUUUUUUACCUGCUGAUUCUAAAGACAAUAUUAAAGGUAUUUCCAGUUACUGAUUGUUUUGUUUAAUUUCUAAAAAAAUAGUUUAUGUAUCAAAUAUGCAUAUUCAAUUAACCAUUUUCUGCAUGUGUCAUAUACAAAUAUAGUGUCCAUAUUUGUCCCCAAUAUGUUACAUACGAGGGGGUGCCACGCUCGGCAUUGCCUUGUUUGAACUGUAAAAUGUGUGCACUAGUCUGAAUAAUCGCCCAUAAUUAUUCCCAUGUUUACUUAUCUAUCUUAAAGGUAAGGUAAUGGGUUCGUUGAUCCCUUUUAUUCAAAAAGAGCUCUUUCCAGGAGAAUAUCAUAAUAAUAUAGACAAAGGAAGGAUGUGGGGAAAGCAACAAAUGCGGCAAAACAUGACAUAUAGAAAACAAAAUGUUUAUGUAGUAAACAUUCGUGGGACAACAACUAAAAAAUCAGAAUAAUGAAGAAAAAGUUAGUUUCCUGCAGUGUUGGUGUACGAGGCGCGUUUAUGAUUUUCAUUAUGUUACUUGAUAUGAAAAUUUGACAAAAAAUAAUAUUUUACUUGUAAAAGUAAAUCCUGAGCCUGUAAUAGCUGCUCUUCUUGUUCCAUUUCAAUUAAUAGAAACAACGCUGUCGCCUUUCUUGUUCUCAUAGAAGCAUAUGAUAUAAGCUCCAUGUUUUGUGAACGUCUUUCUUAACUGUCGUAUUAGACUGACCAGUGAAUAUCGCGCAUGGCACUUUAAAUGUAUUUUAGCGCGAAAAUUAACUUACAUUUAGCUGGAUUUAUUGCCGUCGUAGUUCCAUCUUGUCGCCUUCGUACUUUUAUUCGAUGGCAACACGAUGGGAUUAUGAGGUCUUCACGAAGUCGUGUUGCCAUCGUAAGACCUUCGGGUAACUUCGUGAUUCAUUCGUGUAGACAUCGUAAUGUCAAAACUGCCCGAUGGAAACGAUGGAAACAUGAAUGCAAUACAAUGUUCAAAGAUGCAUUCCCGGUGACAUUACGAUGGUGAGGAUGGUGAUACGAACUCAAUACGAACCCUCAACAUCGGACGCAUCUUCGGGGAUUUUUUAACAUGUUAAAAAAUUUAGAACCCUUCCCGAAGAUGUCCCCGAAGGCUAGAAAAAGUGGCCGAUGGUUCUAUGAUGGUUAAAGAUGGCACUACGAAUAGCCCGAUCUGGAUACGAUCAGUCCCGAUUUUGAACAUUUCCAUAAUCGUGUUGCCAUCGGCGUAAAAAUCAGGACAGUGUGACGCGGGCAUAACCAAAAGCUUUAACCUAAAGAUGGAC
Molecule: long non-coding RNA, 3498 nt
Filed under: Mytilus galloprovincialis (Mediterranean mussel)
Lineage: Eukaryota; Metazoa; Mollusca; Bivalvia; Mytilida; Mytilidae
Source: RNAcentral